This 73-nucleotide transfer RNA is filed under the name Stegodyphus mimosarum. It matches the Rfam family "tRNA". Rfam says of the family: Transfer RNA (tRNA) molecules are approximately 80 nucleotides in length. Their secondary structure includes four short double-helical elements and three loops (D, anti-codon, and T loops). Lineage: Eukaryota; Metazoa; Arthropoda; Arachnida; Araneae; Eresidae. The record is from Rfam by way of RNAcentral.
GCCUCCGUGGUGUAGUGGUCAGCACGCUCGACUCGUAACCGAGAGGUCCACGGCUCGAUUCCCGUCGAGAGCA